Molecule: long non-coding RNA, 487 nt
Organism: Cygnus olor (mute swan)
Lineage: Eukaryota; Metazoa; Chordata; Aves; Anseriformes; Anatidae
Exons: 3
Source: RefSeq, a predicted model, not a curated record
UUGUGAGCAGCCCCUUGCAUAAGUUGUUCGACUGGUGUAAAAGAAGCUGUCGUGGACGUAAGAAGUUUUUGAGCUUGGGAGAACAAGAAAGCCGGCGUUUUGCGGAUGAAUUGGUUCCACGGAGUGCUCUCCUGCUCGGCGGUGGGUGUUCUCGCACGGCGCGUUGCGUGCCGUCUCACCGAGCGGGCCGAUGGUACGAGAGAUCUUCCUCCUGAAGGAAAGGUCACCGGCGUGGGGAAGUCCCUCCUGCAGGCACCUUACAAACAGGCUGUGCUGCUCCCAGGGGUGGCAGGCAAUAGCGUUGAAGGCGCUGGCCCACGUCAUCCUAAGCUCGCCUGAAUUUCCUACGAAAGGGAAGAUGAUGGAUGCGGUCGGGUUUAUUUUCUUGUUAGUUUGCUGAGAAAGACGAAGCUCAGCGAAUGCAAGGUGCUUCUGGGGAGUUUAUUUACGCUGCGUCUUUUCUGCGCAGAUUAGCAUUUCAUCAGCA